GUGGGGAAUCUUAGACAAUGGGGGAAACCCUGAUCUAGCCAUGCCGCGUGAUCGAUGAAGGCCUUAGGGUUGUAAAGAUCUUUCAGGUGGGAAGAUAAUGACUGUACCACCAGAAGAAGCCCCGGCUAACUCCGUGCCAGCAGCCGCGGUAAUACGGAGGGGGCUAGCGUUGUUCGGAAUUACUGGGCGUAAAGCGCACGUAGGCGGAUUGGAAAGUUGGGGGUGAUAUCCUGGGGCUCAAUCCCGGAACUGCCUUCAAAACUCCCAGUCUUGAGUUCGAGAGAGGUGAGUGGAAGUCCGAGUGUAGAGGUGAAAUUCGUAGAUAUUCGGAGGAACACCAGUGGCGAAGGCGGCUCACUGGCUCGAUACUGACGCUGAGGUGCGAAAGCGUGGGGAGCAAACAGGAUUAGAAACCCCAGUAGUCC
Molecule: ribosomal RNA, 425 nt
Filed under: uncultured bacterium
Lineage: Bacteria
Description: partial 16S ribosomal RNA
Rfam family: Bacterial small subunit ribosomal RNA
Source: RNAcentral